GACGAACGCUGGCGGCGUGCCUAAUACAUGCAAGUAGGACGCAGUUGCGAACGGGUGAGUAACGCGUAGGUAACUACCUAUUAGAGGGGGAUAACUAUUGGAAAAGAUAGCUAAUACCGCAUACUAGUAGAUGGACCUGCGUUGUAUUAGCUAGUAGGUAGGGUAAAGGCCUACCUAGGCAAAGAGACAUAGCCGACCCGGGAGGUUGAUCGGCCACAAGGGGACUGAGACACGGCCCAGACGCCUACGGGAGGCAGCAGUAGGGAAACGUCGGCAAUGGGGGGAACCCUGGCCGAGCAACGCCGCGUUAGUGAAGAAGGUUUUCGGAUCGUAAAGCUCUGUUGUUAAGGAAGCGGUACUUAACCAGAAAGGGACGGCUAACUACGUGCCAGCCGCCGCGGUAAUAC
RNAcentral lists this ribosomal RNA (407 nucleotides) under uncultured bacterium. Its description in RNAcentral is "partial 16S ribosomal RNA". It matches the Rfam family "Bacterial small subunit ribosomal RNA", at positions 28 to 526 of the family's 1533-position model. The record is from RNAcentral.